Molecule: non-coding RNA, 23 nt
Filed under: Arabidopsis thaliana (thale cress)
Lineage: Eukaryota; Viridiplantae; Streptophyta; Magnoliopsida; Brassicales; Brassicaceae
Source: RNAcentral
GAGCAGAGAGUCCCACAUGUCCA